This 398-nucleotide ribosomal RNA is filed under the name uncultured Sphingobacteriales bacterium. Its description in RNAcentral is "bacterial SSU rRNA". It matches the Rfam family "Bacterial small subunit ribosomal RNA", at positions 981 to 1382 of the family's 1533-position model. The record is from RNAcentral. Lineage: Bacteria; Pseudomonadati; Bacteroidota; Sphingobacteriia; Sphingobacteriales.
UCAAAUGUAUGUUGUACGUAUUCUGAAAGGGAUACUUCUUCGGACAAUAUACAAGGUGCUGCAUGGUUGUCGUCAGCUCGUGCCGUGAGGUGUCGGGUUAAGUCCCAUAACGAGCGCAACCCUAUCAUUAGUUGCCAUCAGGUCAAGCUGGGGACUCUAAUGAAACUGCCUACGCAAGUAGUGAGGAAGGUGGGGAUGACGUCAAAUCAGCACGGCCCUUACGUCCAGGGCUACACACGUGCUACAAUGGCCGGUACAAAGGGCAGCUACCUGGUGACAGGAUGCUAAUCUCAAAAGCCGGUCUCAGUUCGGAUCGGAGUCUGCAACCCGACUCCGUGAAGUUGGAAUCGCUAGUAAUCGUGGAUCAGCAUGCCACGGUGAAUACGUUCCCGGGCCUU